This 236-nucleotide ribosomal RNA is filed under the name uncultured bacterium. Its description in RNAcentral is "partial 16S ribosomal RNA". It matches the Rfam family "Bacterial small subunit ribosomal RNA", at positions 524 to 759 of the family's 1533-position model. The record is from RNAcentral.
UACGUAGGUGGCGAGCGUUGUCCGGAUUUACUGGGCGUAAAGCGCGCGCAGGCGGACUGAUCAGUCUGGGGUGAAAUCUCACGGCUCAACUGUGAGCGGUCCCUGGAUACUGUCAGUCUUGAGAUGUCUAGAGGAGAGCGGAAUUCCCGGUAUAGUGGUGGAAUGCGUAGAUAUCGGGAAGAACACCAGUGGCGAAAGCGGCUCUCUGGGGACCAUCUGACGCUGAGGCGCGAAAG